RNAcentral lists this long non-coding RNA (526 nucleotides) under Androctonus crassicauda. Lineage: Eukaryota; Metazoa; Arthropoda; Arachnida; Scorpiones; Buthidae. The record is from RNAcentral.
UUAUUGUUAAUUAUUAAUUUUUUAAUUAGUAAAUAUUAAUUAUUAUUAUUAUUUAUCUAACUCUUGUUCAAAACUAAUUUUUUUUUAUUAUUAAAAGGCCCCACAUGACAACUUUGUACUCCCGCUUUUUCUCAGGUUGGCCCUGUUUGUUAAAGUUAUUAUUUAGUUCUCUCAUUCUUUGUUCUAGGAAUCUCCAUCUUAAGUGUUCUUUGGUUGGGCUGGCUAAUGUAUCUAUUAAUGUUUUGAAUACUGGUAUAUCUUCAAGCAUGUUUAGGUUUUCAUUACAGAUGUGUAAUGAUCUUUUUUUUGAAUGUUUCUUUUAUAAACUGUGGGAAGGCUAUGUCUCCUAGGAUUGUGACUACUUUUUCCAGUGGGAUUCUUGUUUUUCCAUUGCUCUUAGUUGUAUGUUGAUUGCCCAUUUGAGUUUUUUGAUAUAAUUUUUUCUUAAUCUUUUUUGUAAAGAUUCUGUUUCCUUUUUGAUGAAUUCCAUACUCAAUGUUGUGGUGAGAUUUUCUUGUUGUGUUAG